This 292-nucleotide ribosomal RNA is filed under the name uncultured Bacteroidota bacterium. Its description in RNAcentral is "uncultured Bacteroidetes bacterium partial 16S ribosomal RNA". Lineage: Bacteria; Pseudomonadati; Bacteroidota. The record is from RNAcentral.
GGACUACCGGGGUAUCUAAUCCUGUUUGCUCCCCACGCUUUCGUGCCUCAGUGUCAAUAAUCGUGAAGUAAGCUGCCUUCGCAAUUGGUGUUCUAUGUCAUAUCUAAGCAUUUCACCGCUACAUGACAUAUUCCGCUUACCUACGCGAUAUUCAAGAUAUAUAGUAUCAACGGCAGUUCCCAAGUUAAGCUCGGGGAUUUCACCACUGACUUACAUACCCACCUACGCACCCUUUAAACCCAGUGAAUCCGGAUAACGCUUGCACCCUCCGUAUUACCGCGGCUGCUGGCAC